AACGAACGCUGGCGGCAUGCCUAACACAUGCAAGUCGAACGAGACCUUCGGGUCUAGUGGCGCACGGGUGCGUAACGCGUGGGAACCUGCCUUAGGUUCGGAAUAACUCAGAGAAAUUUGAGCUAAUACCGGAUGAUGUCUUCGGACCAAAGAUUUAUCGCCUUUAGAUGGGCCCGCGUUGGAUUAGCUAGUUGGUGGGGUAAAGGCCUACCAAGGCGACGAUCCAUAGCUGGUCUGAGAGGAUGAUCAGCCACACUGGGACUGAGACACGGCCCAGACUCCUACGGGAGGCAGCAGUGGGGAAUAUUGGACAAUGGGCGAAAGCCUGAGCCAGCAAUGCCGCGUGAGUGAUGAAGGCCUUAGGGUUGUAAAGCUCUUUUACCCGAGAUGAUAAUGACAGUAGCGGGAGAAUAAGCUCCGGCUAACUCCGUG
RNAcentral lists this ribosomal RNA (432 nucleotides) under uncultured bacterium. RNAcentral's name for it is "partial 16S ribosomal RNA". It matches the Rfam family "Bacterial small subunit ribosomal RNA", at positions 29 to 507 of the family's 1533-position model. The record is from RNAcentral.